Molecule: ribosomal RNA, 445 nt
Filed under: uncultured bacterium
Lineage: Bacteria
Description: partial 16S ribosomal RNA
Rfam family: Bacterial small subunit ribosomal RNA
Source: RNAcentral
CUACGGGUUGCUGCAGUUUGGAAUAUUGGACAAUGGACGAAAGUCUGAUCCAGCGACGCCGCGUGGACGAUGAAGGCCUUCGGGUUGUAAAGUCCUUUUGCCGCCGAUUAAUUUUUGAAAGUAGGCGGAGAAUAAGAGGUUGCUAACUCUGUGCCAGCAGCAGCGGUAAUACAGAGACCUCAAGCGUUAUCCGGAAUCAUUGGGCGUAAAGCGUACCGAUAGGUGGCUAAGAAAGUCAGAAGUGAAAUUCCAAAGCUUAACUUUGGGACUGUCUUUUGAAACUUCUUGGCUUGAGGGGCAAAGAGGAAGCUGGAACGAGCGGUGUAGUAGUGAAAUGCGUUGAUAUCGCUCGGAACACCAAUAGCGAAGGCAAGCUUCUGGGUGCCUCCUGACACUGCUAGGACGAGAGCGUGGGGAGCGAAUGGGAUUAGAUACCCCGGUAGUC